CGCGUACGAUCCCGGCUCCCUCACGAGGCAAGGCCGGCUGAGGCGGAGGCCCACCCAGUCAUUCCCUUUCCUUUGGUCUCGCAAUCACAUGUUCCAACUUCCAAGCGUCCGCCGCCGCCGCCGAAUCCUCCGUCGUACGUGGCUGGUCCCCGUCUCCAGCGCCAGCCUCUCGGUCCACCACACGCACCUUCUGGAUCUCGCCCAGAACUACCAUGAAAGAGAAGGUUUCAAAUUGGCAAGGAUUCCCCCUGGUCCUGUUAUCAAGAUGCUAGAUUAGGGAGCAAAGAGCAAGCAGGAGGCCACCUACUCGUGCAGCAGUCAUACCCCACCAUCAUUCUUCAGGACAAAGACCCCCCAAGUACACUGCUAGAACAACACAACUGACGCCAAGGAAACACAAAUGGACAAGAUGCAAUGCUUGCUGAUGAGUAGACUUCCUAGUAGGAUUUUUGAGAUAUUUCAAAUGUGGAGCAGACUUCAUGACAAAUGUUGUACCACACUAUAGUUGAUUGCUCUCCCCAACAAUUUCCAACUAUAAUAUAAAGUUGUACACUGUAUCUUUUCAUCUGAAGUACAUAUGAAUCAAAUU
RNAcentral lists this ribosomal RNA (589 nucleotides) under Triticum aestivum (bread wheat). RNAcentral describes it as "partial small subunit ribosomal RNA". Lineage: Eukaryota; Viridiplantae; Streptophyta; Magnoliopsida; Poales; Poaceae. The record is from RNAcentral.